This 732-nucleotide ribosomal RNA is filed under the name uncultured bacterium. Its description in RNAcentral is "bacterial SSU rRNA". It matches the Rfam family "Bacterial small subunit ribosomal RNA", at positions 94 to 862 of the family's 1533-position model. The record is from RNAcentral.
AGCGGCGCACGGGUGCGUAACGCGUGGGAACAUACCCUUGGGUGCGGAACAACGUUGGGAAACUAACGCUAAUACCGCAUAAUAUCUCCGGAUCAAAGAUUCAUCGCCCAGGGAUUGGCCCGCGUUAGAUUAGGUAGUUGGUAGGGUAACGGCCUACCAAGCCGACGAUCUAUAGCUGGUCUGAGAGGAUGAUCAGCCACACUGGAACUGAGACACGGUCCAGACUCCUACGGGAGGCAGCAGUGAGGAAUAUUGGACAAUGGGGGCAACCCUGAUCCAGCCAUGCCGCGUGAGUGACGAAGGCCUUAGGGUUGUAAAGCUCUUUCAGGUGCGAAGAUAAUGACAGUAACACCAGAAGAAGCCCCGGCUAAAUUCGUGCCAGCAGCCGCGGUAAUACGAAUGGGGCGAGCGUUGUUCGGAAUCACUGGGCGUAAAGCGUACGUAGGCGGACUGCCAAGUCAGAAGUGAAAUCCCGGGGCUUAACCCCGGAAUUGCUUUUGAAACUGGUAGUCUAGAGGCCCGGAGAGGUCAGCGGAAUUCCGAGUGUAGAGGUGAAAUUCGCAGAUAUUCGGAGGAACACCAGUUGCGUAGGCGGCUGGCUGGACGGGCACUGACGCUGAGGUACGAAAGCGUGGGGAUCAAACAGGAUUAGAUACCCUGGUAGUCCACGCCGUAAACGAUGUGUGCUAGUUGUCGGGGCCUUUAGGUCUCGGUGACGCAGCUAACGCUUAA